This 497-nucleotide ribosomal RNA is filed under the name uncultured bacterium. RNAcentral describes it as "partial 16S ribosomal RNA". It matches the Rfam family "Bacterial small subunit ribosomal RNA", at positions 28 to 507 of the family's 1533-position model. The record is from RNAcentral.
GAUCAACGCUGGCGGCGUGCCUAAUACAUGCAAGUCGAGCGAACAGACGAGGAGCUUGCUCCUCUGACGUUAGCGGCGGACGGGUGAGUAACACGUGGAUAACCUACCUAUAAGACUGGGAUAACUUCGGGAAACCGGAGCUAAUACCGGAUAAUAUAUUGAACCGCAUGGUUCAAUAGUGAAAGACGGUUUUGCUGUCACUUAUAGAUGGAUCCGCGCCGCAUUAGCUAGUUGGUAAGGUAACGGCUUACCAAGGCGACGAUGCGUAGCCGACCUGAGAGGGUGAUCGGCCACACUGGAACUGAGACACGGUCCAGACUCCUACGGGAGGCAGCAGCAGGGAAUCUUCCGCAAUGGGCGAAAGCCUGACGGAGCAACGCCGCGUGAGUGAUGAAGGUCUUCGGAUCGUAAAACUCUGUUAUUAGGGAAGAACAAAUGUGUAAGUAACUAUGCACGUCUUGACGGUACCUAAUCAGAAAGCCACGGCUAACUACGUG